GAUGAACGCUGGCGGCGUGCUUAACACAUGCAAGUCGAACGGAGUGCUCAUGAUGGAGGAUUCGUCCAACGGAUUGAGUUACUUAGUGGCGGACGGGUGAGUAACGCGUGAGGAACCUGCCUCGGAGUGGGGAAUAACAGCCCGAAAGGGUUGCUAAUACCGCAUGAUGCAGCUGGGUGCAUGACCCUGGCUGCCAAAGAUUUAUCGCUCUGAGAUGGCCUCGCGUCUGAUUAGCUAGUAGGCGAGGUAACGGCCCACCUAGGCGACGAUCAGUAGCCGGACUGAGAGGUUGACCGGCCACAUUGGGACUGAGACACGGCCCAG
Molecule: ribosomal RNA, 324 nt
Filed under: uncultured bacterium
Lineage: Bacteria
Description: bacterial SSU rRNA
Rfam family: Bacterial small subunit ribosomal RNA
Source: RNAcentral